Molecule: ribosomal RNA, 534 nt
Filed under: Crocidura eburnea
Lineage: Eukaryota; Metazoa; Chordata; Mammalia; Eulipotyphla; Soricidae
Description: partial 16S ribosomal RNA
Rfam family: Bacterial large subunit ribosomal RNA
Source: RNAcentral
CACCUCUAGCAUUAUUAGUAUUAGAGGCACUGCCUGCCCAGUGACAUUAGUUUAACGGCCGCGGUAUCCUGACCGUGCAAAGGUAGCAUAAUCAUUUGUUCCUUAAUUAGGGACUCGUAUGAAUGGCCCCACGAGGGUUUGACUGUCUCUUACUUUCAAUCAGUGAAAUUGACCUUCCCGUGAAGAGGCGGGAAUACAAAAAUAAGACGAGAAGACCCUAUGGAGCUUAAAUUAAAGAGUCCAAUAAAUCCAAACUUAAUCCAAUAGGAAAUAAUAAUAUUUUAUCUGGACAACAAAUUUUGGUUGGGGUGACCUCGGAGUACAACAAAGCCUCCGAGCGAUUUUUACCAAGACUUACCUGUCAAGGUGAUAUAACUUAUUGAUCCAAUCAUAUUGAUCAACGAAACAAGUUACCCUAGGGAUAACAGCGCAAUCCUAUUUAAGAGUUCAUAUCGACAAUAGGGUUUACGACCUCGAUGUUGGAUCAGGACUCCCAAAUGGUGCAGCAGCUAUUAAAGGUUCGUUUGUUCAACG